RNAcentral lists this ribosomal RNA (430 nucleotides) under uncultured bacterium. RNAcentral's name for it is "bacterial SSU rRNA". It matches the Rfam family "Bacterial small subunit ribosomal RNA", at positions 8 to 430 of the family's 1533-position model. The record is from RNAcentral.
AGAGUUUGAUCCUGGCUCAGAUUGAACGCUGGCGGGAUGCUUUACACAUGCAAGUCGGACGGCAGCACGAGGAAAGCUUGCUUUUCUUGGUGGCGAGCGGCGAACGGGUGAGUAAUGUAUCGGAACGUGCCCAGUAGCGGGGGAUAACCGCGCGAAAGCGUGGCUAAUACCGCAUACGCCCUUUGGGGGAAAGCGGGGGACCUUUCGGGGCCUCGCACUAUUGGAGCGGCCGAUAUCGGAUUAGCUUGUUGGUGGGGUAACGGCCUACCAAGGCGUCGAUCCGUAGCUGGUUUGAGAGGACGACCAGCCACACUGGGACUGAGACACGGCCCAGACUCCUACGGGAGGCAGCAGUGGGGAAUUUUGGACAAUGGGGGCAACCCUGAUCCAGCCAUCCCGCGUGUGCGACGAAGGCCUUCGGGUUGUAAAG